AAAGAAAAUUCGAUUCCCUUAGUAGCGGCGAGCGAAACGGGAAGAGCCCAAACCAACAAGCUUGCUUGUUGGGGUUGUAGGACACUCUAUACGGAGUUACAAAGGACGACAUUAGACGAAUCAUCUGGAAAGAUGAAUCAAAGAAGGUAAUAAUCCUGUAGUCGAAAAUGUUGUCUCUCUUGAGUGGAUCCUGAGUACGACGGAACACGUGAAAUUCCGUCGGAAUCUGGGAGGACCAUCUCCUAAGGCUAAAUACUCUCUAGUGACCGAUAGUGAACCAGUACCGUGAGGGAAAGGUGAAAAGCACCCCGGAAGGGGAGUGAAAUAGAACCUGAAACCGUGUGCUUACAAGUAGUCAGAGCCCGUUAAUGGGUGAUGGCGUGCCUUUUGUAGAAUGAACCGGCGAGUUACGAUUUGAUGCAAGGUUAAGCAGUAAAUGUGGAGCCGUAGCGAAAGCGAGUCUGAAUAGGGCGUUUAGUAUUUGGUCGUAGACCCGAAACCAGGUGAUCUACCCUUGGUCAGGUUGAAGUUCAGGUAACACUGAAUGGAGGACCGAACCGACUUACGUUGAAAAGUGAGCGGAUGAACUGAGGGUAGCGGAGAAAUUCCAAUCGAACCUGGAGAUAGCUGGUUCUCUCCGAAAUAGCUUUAGGGCUAGCCUCAAGUGAUGAUUAUUGGAGGUAGAGCACUGUUUGGACGAGGGGCCCCUCUCGGGUUACCGAAUUCAGACAAACUCCGAAUGCCAAUUAAUUUAACUUGGGAGUCAGAACAUGGGUGAUAAGGUCCGUGUUCGAAAGGGAAACAGCCCAGACCACCAGCUAAGGUCCCAAAAUAUAUGUUAAGUGGAAAAGGAUGUGGCGUUGCCCAGACAACUAGGAUGUUGGCUUAGAAGCAGCCAUCAUUUAAAGAGUGCGUAAUAGCUCACUAGUCGAGUGACACUGCGCCGAAAAUGUACCGGGGCUAAACAUAUUACCGAAGCUGUGGAUUGUCCUUUGGACAAUGGUAG
Molecule: ribosomal RNA, 1006 nt
Filed under: Staphylococcus aureus
Lineage: Bacteria; Bacillati; Bacillota; Bacilli; Caryophanales; Staphylococcaceae
Description: partial 23S ribosomal RNA
Rfam family: Bacterial large subunit ribosomal RNA
Source: RNAcentral